CCGAGCUAUUUCCUCAGCUCCGUUUGUUUUCUCAGAAAAUAAAAGAAAGGGAAAAUUUUUAGUUUUUCGCUUUCAGAAAGUUCAAACGGAGCCUUAGUGGUUGAUUUUGAGGCGAUUGUUCUUGCUUUUUCCAAUCCAGACAUUGAUAAUGCAUGAUUUACUUGAAAUCAUCCGUUGUUUUAUUUUUUCAUCAUUUUCUCAGCAACCAAAAGGAGCGAUUGCGAGAUCACUGAUCUGUACAUAUCUGCAUUUGAUGCUGUACUAGUUUAUUGUUGUAUUGUUACUUUUCAGAAUUUUAACUUGCUUUCCUACAUUUUCUCGGCGAACAUACACAGAAAUACUGCAUUGAGCGGUGAAUGAGUUAAUUGGUGUUCUAUUGUUGUUCAUUAUUUUAAUUAAUUUUCAUUUCCAUAUAUUUUCUCUCCAUUCAAACAGAGCAUUUAUGAUAUCAUUGAUCUGUGUAAACUACAUCAAUUAUUUGGCACGAAUUUGAGCCUUUUCUGUUGGUUUGGUUUGGAUUUGUUUUCACAUUUGUGCUUGUAUCUCUACGUAUUUGUUGUUUAACAGAUAAAUAAGUCUUGGCAUUUGUGAUGGUUUUUUCUAUUGAUUGAAAUGGAUUUAUUGUUUUGUAGAGUUUUUUUUACAGUUUUUGUGUCAACAUUUAGGUUUUUCAACCUAAAUGUGCUAUGCUAUUAUGUUGGAAAGGUUGAGCCUUUUAGGGCUUACUGCAUACUCCAUGAGAAAGUGCUGUUCUAUUUAUGUGCACCAUUUCAAAGUUUCACUCAAUUUCCUCUGAACAGCUAAGAUGAACUUUUAACCAUGGAGUAUGCACAUUUAGAUGUACCCUCACACUGUGAAAAGGCCUAAAUAUCUGCAUUCUUUGGUUGUAAGUUUGCAAUUUGCAGCAGCUACAUGAAGUACAUACUCUGGUAGAUUUGUGGGAAUUAUUGUGAAAAUAGAGGGUUUCCUUUAGGUUGAAUGUAAAUUUUGAGUGCACAUUGAUUCUUCAUCUCAUAUGUAUUUUGAAGGAAAUGAACCAGUGCUUGUAUGUUGAUUUUUAUGUAUUUUUGAGAUGUUGAUAUUCUCUUUCUUUCUCGCCUCUUUUCUUUUUCCCUUUUAUUUUUUCCUUACAAAUUCUUACAAGUGAAUAUGGAUAUGAUGGCUAAAAGUAAAAGGUCUGAGCAGGAAAGCAGUGUUGGUAGUGAUGAGAUGGAAAUGGGGGAAAGGAAGAGGGCCCCUUGUUCCUGUUCAAGUUAUUACAUUGUGACAUUCGCAACCUCUUCUACAUCAAAUUUUCCCUUGCUUAAAGCUUGGCAUUGGGUUGAAAAAAAAAGGCGUGGGUUGCAUUCUAGAAUUGAAUGCUGACCUAGAAUUCUCCCAACAUGAUCUGUAACCCUAUUAUUUGAACAUCUGUCUUCUGCCAUCCUGCUUCCUGCGUUGAUAAAACCUUCAUGCUGAUCCUUUCACUGAUGAUUUUUUUUAUUUUUUUCGGUAUUAACCUGCUCUGUCUAACUGUCCCUCUCAAAAAAAGAAAAAGAAAAAGAAAAAAGAAAAAGGAAACAGGAAAUGUUUUUAUUAUAUCCUGGGUUCAGGCUCAUAUAGCCUUGUUCAAUCUUUCCAUCAUUCAAGGGGAACUUUCAAACAUACCCAUCAAAUUCAGACCAAACAAUUUUAGGUAAGGUAAUUAUUAUUAUUUUGGUGCAUGGUUUUGAACCAGGAACUUUCCUAUCCCUACCCUAGUCUACCCCAAAGCCACACCUCAAGGGCUCUAGGUGGGGUAGUUAUUGUUUUUUCAUUUUUCUUUUUUUGUUUCCAUCGGUGUUUUGAAAGGCUAUUGGGGCCUCAAGUUGAGGCUAUGCAAAUUAGCCUUGAGGCUAUAGCCUCAAUAGAGGAUAAUCGAGGCUUAAGUCUCAAAUAUUCAAAAGGUUUUAAUGGGUUUAGGGUCUUUAUCGACUUUUUAUAUACAUUUUUAAGAGGUUUAAGUCUUAAUAUUUUAUUGGUUGUAGUAACCUGUGCUUUUAUGGGGUUUUGAUAUAAAUUUUUAAGUUUUGUCUUGUAUCAAGAUUAGGGUUAAGCCUUUUAGAAAACAAAGGAUUAGUUGACUAUCAAUUAAUUCUUUAAAUGGAAAUGAAAGGAAGAGAUUGGGAAGAAGAAAUAAAAGAUUGUUGGUCAUUGUAGUAACCGAACUUAUAUAAUCAUUAUCUUAUUAUUGAUGGAUAAAGGAAAAAAAUAAUUGUAAUUAAUGGAUAAAAAAGAAAAAUGGAUUGACACUAACUUUGAUGGAGAGGAUGGAGCAAUUAGAUAUAAUUAUGAUUCAUUAGAGGAUCCUAUUGGUGAUAGUGAUGGUAGUUUUGAAGAUUAUUUGAAAAAUGCAUGAGAGAGAGUUGGAUUUUAGAACAGACAAAAAAACUAAAUUAGAAGCCAUUGAAAAUGACGUACAAUUAAUUUGAAUCAUUUGAUUAUUAUAUAUUGUAUGGUUUUUUUAUUAUUUACUUUUCAUGUGAUUUUAUUAAUAUUUUUCUGAUUUUUAAGAUUUUUUUCUUUUUAUUAUUAUUAAAGUUGAGGCCUAGGCCUUAUCCUGUCUUGAAGUUACACUUUAUCUCAUCUAGGCAAAACGCUCCCAGGUUGCCUUUAGCCUUUUAAAACAUUGGUUUCUAUAAUAAUAUUUUUUUUUACUGCACUAAUUAGUAGGCAAAUUUACACUCCAUUGUUCAUAUAUAACUACUUUAAUGGAAUACAUGAGAAUCAUCACUUAUUUACCAGAUCUUAACAUAGAAAUUUUAACAAGUCCUUUUUUUUAGCAAAAACCUGGUUAUCAACAUAGAUUUAUCAUAAUCUUUAUGAGAUCAUCCUUUCUGACGGAUGGAUGUUUAUUUAGCUUUAUAAAUGCAUGGAUUCAUUUAUGGAAGCAAUCCAGUCUCCAUUUUUAGAUUAUUAAUGUUGAAGCUAAAUUCUCUUUCAGUAUCCUACAAAUUUGGGAUGAAUCAACUUGUUGAAGCUGCAGCCUUAAUUUCAUCCACAAACCGUCAUCCUUGCUCUAAUUGACUGUUUCAAGCUUAGAAAGUUGUUACACUGGUUUUCUGGGAUAUGAUUAUCAGUAACUCUUAAUAACUAUUCUCCAAGAGAAGUAGGGCAGGCAGAAUGGUACGAGUUUCAAAGAAGAAUGAAAAUGGUGGAGUAUCUGAACUGAAUCCAGAAGCUGAAGAGCGUAAAAGACGAAAAAAAUUGGCGUUCUCCAAGAACUUACUGUCAGAUACUCCUUCAAAAGCGUUUUCAGCGCUGAGCCCUUCAAAAACAGUGAUCAAACACCAUGGAAAAGAUAUUCUGAAGAAAUCUCAGAGGAAGAAUCGGUUCCUCUUCUCAUUCCCAGGUCUUCUUGCUCCUAUCGCUGGCGGCAAGAUUGGUGAACUCAAGGAUUUGGGAACCAAGAAUCCUAUACUCUACCUUGAUUUCCCUCAGGGUCAAAUGAAGUUGUUUGGGACUAUAGUUUACCCGAAGAACAGGUAUUUGACUCUGCAUUUCUCUAGAGGCGGAAAAAAUGUAAUGUGUGAGGAUUACUUUGAUAAUAUGAUUGUAUUUUCUGAUGCAUGGUGGAUUGGGAGAAAGGAGGAGAAUCCAGAAGAAGCCCGACUCGAGUUUCCUAAAGAACUGAGUGAAGGACAAAGUGUUGAAUACGACUUUAAAGGGGGUGCAGGCAUGGCAUCUGACAGUAAGCAAGGUGUUAAUAAACCUGAAAUGAAAUAUGUAGAACCGCAGUCACCUAAACCUGAGCUAGAAGAUGAUUUGUCUGGUGAAGACAGUUUGAAAGAUGUGGUUGAAAUGACACCGAAAGAUGUUGAAGUGACACCAGUUCGCCAUUCACAGAGAACUGCAGGAAAAACAUUCAAUUUUGCAGAAGCUUCUUCUGGAGAUGAUUCUGUUGAAAAUGAUGGCAACAUAUCUGAUGGACAAGAAAAUUCUGGCUCUGCAACACCUGAAAGUGGCAAUGAAGAUGCUGAAGCAAGGACUCGAGCAACCACACAAAUUCAAGAGUCUGCUGGGGCAGCUACCAAGUCAAGGAAACGACUAUCUCAAGCUACUAUAUCCACAUUGUUUAAGAAAGUGGAGGAACAGAAAACAUCCAGAACUCCAAGGAAAUCCUCAUCAACCAAAGCUUCUGCCCAGAAGACUGAUUCCAGGAAAGCUCAGGAACACGGGAAAAAAAGAAAAGUAAUUGAGGAAACAAAAUCUGAGAUGGACAUCUCAACAGAAAGUGAACCAUCUGAUGAGGAAAAGAAAACAUCUAGAACCCCAAGGAAAUCCUCAUCAACCAAAGUUUCUGCCCGGAAGACUGAUGCCAGGAAAGCCCAGGGACCCAGGAAAAGGAGAAAAGUAAUCGAGGAAACAAAAUCUGAGAUAGACAUCUCAACAGAAGGCGAGCAAUCUGAUAAUCCGAUCUCUGAUGCUUCUGUUAGAGUGUACAAGAGAAAGAUGAAAAGCCCUGCAGCUUAAACAGCAUUGGCCCAAUGACUUGACUAGUGAGUCCAACUCCAGCUUCAAAGAUUUCUCUUCCAUUGAUCUUCAGAAUCCCACCCAACUCCAUGGAGCCGACUGGGUUGUGAUGACUUGUCAACCACAAGAUGGAGAAAGAAUGUAUGGAAACUACUAGAUGUAGGGAGUGCAGACACGAAGCAUGGCCAGUUGGAGAUAAUUGUUUAUUCUGACCCAACAUAUCCCAGACAUUUGAAAGGGCCCGAGCCAAGAGUGUAGACUGUAGAACACAACCCCACCGGCUGUAGCUCUGUAAGUGUUUCAUUCGACAUCUUCUUUUAUUAAUUCAAUUAUUUGUUCUAUGUACGAGCCUCUACAAAACUGAGCUCAUUGCUUUUAAAAUACUGAACCUGGAGAGCAAAAAUUGGAAUAAGGGUAGUUCAGACUUCAGAGGAGUCAUUCUCUGCUAUUAAA
Molecule: RNA transcript, 4944 nt
Organism: Vitis riparia (riverbank grape)
Lineage: Eukaryota; Viridiplantae; Streptophyta; Magnoliopsida; Vitales; Vitaceae
Gene name: DNA-binding protein RHL1
Exons: 2
Source: RefSeq, a predicted model, not a curated record